CUGAGUGCUCAUGCUUAGCAUGGGCUUUUAUCAAGAGUAAAAAUCUUGAGGAAUAAGUGGUGGGUAAGACUGGUGCCAGCCGCCGCGGUAAUCCCAGCGCCACAAGUCGCAAUCACGUUUAUUGGGUCUAAAGCAUCCGUAGCCGGCUCGUUAAAUUUCCUGUGAAAUUGUUAGGCUUAACCUAACAACGUGCAGGGAACACUGGCGAGCUUGGGACCAGGAGAGGUUGAAGGUAUUCUACGGGGAGCGGUAAAAUGUUAUAAUCCGUAGAGGACCACCAAUGGCGAAGGCAUUCAACCAGAAUGGAUCUGACGGUGAGGGAUGAAAGCUAGGGGAGCGAUCCGGAUUAGAUACCCGAGUAGUCCUAGCCGUAAACGCUGCGAGCCAGAUGUUGCAUAUUCUUCGGGAAUAUGCAGUGUCGCAACGAAGGUGUUAAGCUCGCCACCUGGGAAGUACGGUCGCAAGGCUGAAACUUAAAGGAAUUGGCGGGGGAGCACCACAAGGGGUGCGGCGUGCGGUUCAAUUGAAUUCAACGUCGGAAACCUCACCAGGGGCGCCGGCACUGUGAAGGUCAGUCUGAAGGGCUUACCUGAGGAGCCGAGAGGUGUUGUAUGGUCACCGUCAGCUCGUGCCGUGAGGUGUCCUGUUAAGUCAGGCAACGAGCGAGACCUGCAUCCAUAGUUGCUAACGUGCCAGAAAUGGUGAGCGAGCACACUAUGGGGAUGCCCUCCCAAAAGGGGGGAGGAAGGUGCAGGCCACGGUAGAUCAGUAUGGCCCGAACCUCCUGGGCUACACGCGCGCAACAUUGGUAGAGACAAUGGGAUGCAACUCCGAAAGGAGAAGCCAAACCUCGAAACUCUACCUUGGUACAGAUUGAGGGUUGCAACUCACCCUCAUGACGGCGGAAUCCCUAGUAAUCAGACGUUAGCAUCGUCCGGUGAAUAUGUCCCUG
This 952-nucleotide ribosomal RNA is filed under the name uncultured euryarchaeote. RNAcentral's name for it is "bacterial SSU rRNA". It matches the Rfam family "Archaeal small subunit ribosomal RNA", at positions 381 to 1332 of the family's 1478-position model. Lineage: Archaea; Methanobacteriati; Methanobacteriota. The record is from RNAcentral.